UUCGCAAUGCCCGAAAGGGUGACAAUGCGACGCCGCGUGUGGGACGAAGGCCUUCGGGUUGUAAACCACUGUCAGCCCGGAUGAAGGCGGAAGGGUUAAUAACCUUUCCGAUUGACGGUACGGGCGGAGGAAGCCACGGCUAACUCUGUGCCAGCAGCCGCGGUAAUACAGAGGUGGCAAGCGUUGUUCGGAUUCACUGGGUGUAAAGGUCAUGUAGGCGUUCUGUUAAGUCGGGCGUGAAAUCCUAUGGCUCAACCAUAGAACUGCGCUCGAUACUGGCAGGAUUGAGUACGGGAGAGGUAAGCGGAAUUCCAGAAGUAAGGGUGAGAUCUGUAGAUAUCUGGAAGAACACCAUUAGCGAAGGCGGCUUACUGGUCCGAUACUGACGCUGAAAUGAGAAAGCUAGGGGAGCAAACAGGAUUAGAUACCCUGGUAGUCCUAGCCCUAAACGAUGGGCACUAAGUAGAGGGGUUUU
Molecule: ribosomal RNA, 475 nt
Filed under: uncultured anaerobic ammonium-oxidizing bacterium
Lineage: Bacteria
Description: bacterial SSU rRNA
Rfam family: Bacterial small subunit ribosomal RNA
Source: RNAcentral